Molecule: unclassified non-coding RNA, 26 nt
Filed under: Mus musculus (house mouse)
Lineage: Eukaryota; Metazoa; Chordata; Mammalia; Rodentia; Muridae
Description: oocyte_clustered_small_RNA5867
Source: RNAcentral
AGGUUUGGUAUAGGAUCUUUUCCCAA